RNAcentral lists this ribosomal RNA (496 nucleotides) under Leuconostoc mesenteroides. Its description in RNAcentral is "bacterial SSU rRNA". It matches the Rfam family "Bacterial small subunit ribosomal RNA", at positions 84 to 568 of the family's 1533-position model. Lineage: Bacteria; Bacillati; Bacillota; Bacilli; Lactobacillales; Lactobacillaceae. The record is from RNAcentral.
CUUUCAAGUGAGUGGCGAACGGGUGAGUAACACGUGGACAACCUGCCUCAAGGCUGGGGAUAACAUUUGGAAACAGAUGCUAAUACCGAAUAAAACUUAGUGUCGCAUGACACAAAGUUAAAAGGCGCUUCGGCGUCACCUAGAGAUGGAUCCGCGGUGCAUUAGUUAGUUGGUGGGGUAAAGGCCUACCAAGACAAUGAUGCAUAGCCGAGUUGAGAGACUGAUCGGCCACAUUGGGACUGAGACACGGCCCGAACUCCUACGGGAGGCUGCAGUAGGGAAUCUUCCACAAUGGGCGAAAGCCUGAUGGAGCAACGCCGCGUGUGUGAUGAAGGCUUUCGGGUCGUAAAGCACUGUUGUAUGGGAAGAACAGCUAGAAUAGGAAAUGAUUUUAGUUUGACGGUACCAUACCAGAAAGGGACGGCUAAAUACGUGCCAGCAGCCGCGGUAAUACGUAUGUCCCGAGCGUUAUCCGGAUUUAUUGGGCGUAAAGCGA